GCGGAAGUGGCGGAAUCGGUAGACGCACCAGAUUUAGGUUCUGGCGCCGCAAGGUGUGAGAGUUCAAGUCUCUCCUUCCGCACCA
This 85-nucleotide transfer RNA is filed under the name Vibrio parahaemolyticus. RNAcentral describes it as "tRNA-Leu". It matches the Rfam family "tRNA". Rfam says of the family: Transfer RNA (tRNA) molecules are approximately 80 nucleotides in length. Their secondary structure includes four short double-helical elements and three loops (D, anti-codon, and T loops). Further hydrogen bonds mediate the characteristic L-shaped molecular structure. tRNAs have two regions of fundamental functional importance: the anti-codon, which is responsible for specific mRNA codon recognition, and the 3' end, to which the tRNAs corresponding amino acid is attached (by aminoacyl-tRNA synthetases). tRNAs cope with the degeneracy of the genetic code in two manners: having more than one tRNA (with a specific anti-codon) for a particular amino acid; and 'wobble' base-pairing, i.e. permitting non-standard base-pairing at the 3rd anti-codon position. The record is from RNAcentral. Lineage: Bacteria; Pseudomonadati; Pseudomonadota; Gammaproteobacteria; Vibrionales; Vibrionaceae.